CCGGACACUCUAGCAGGGUUGCACCGCCCAAAGCAGCCCCGCCCCACUGCCCC
RNAcentral lists this non-coding RNA (53 nucleotides) under unclassified sequences. RNAcentral's name for it is "RAGATH-5 RNA". It matches the Rfam family "RAGATH-5 RNA". The record is from RNAcentral.